This 507-nucleotide ribosomal RNA is filed under the name uncultured bacterium. RNAcentral's name for it is "partial 16S ribosomal RNA". The stretch from base 20 to 331 matches the Rfam family "Bacterial small subunit ribosomal RNA", at positions 47 to 358 of the family's 1533-position model. The record is from RNAcentral.
GACGAACGCUGGCGGCGUGCUUAACACAUGCAAGUCGAACGGAAAGGCCCUGCUUUUGUGGGGUGCUCGAGUGGCGAACGGGUGAGUAACACGUGAGUAACCUGCCCUUGACUUUGGGAUAACUUCAGGAAACUGGGGCUAAUACCGGAUAGGAGCUCCUGCUGCAUGGUGGGGGUUGGAAAGUUUCGGCGGUUGGGGAUGGACUCGCGGCUUAUCAGCUUGUUGGUGGGGUAGUGGCUUACCAAGGCUUUGACGGGUAGCCGGCCUGAGAGGGUGACCGGCAAGAGGGGGAGUGGGCUCGGGCCAGUGCGCGGACGGGAGGCGGAGUGGGGGAAGAGGGCACAGGGGGGGGGAGCCGGACGACGCAGCGGGGUGUGGGGGAUGCCGGGCGGCGGGGUGUAAACCGUGUGCGGGGGUGACGAAGGGUGGGUGACGGGAAUGGGAAAAGAAGAAACGACUAUCUACGGGCCAGGAGCGGCGGUAAUAACGGAAGGGCCACGUCUGACC